Molecule: ribosomal RNA, 901 nt
Filed under: uncultured bacterium
Lineage: Bacteria
Description: bacterial SSU rRNA
Rfam family: Bacterial small subunit ribosomal RNA
Source: RNAcentral
AGAGUUUGAUCCUGGCUCAGGACGAACGCUGGCUGCGUGCUUAACACAUGCAAGUCGAACGCUGAAGCCGACAGCUUGCUGUUGGUGGAUGAGUGGCGAACGGGUGAGUAACACGUGAGUAACCUGCCCCUGAUUUCGGGAUAAGCCUGGGAAACUGGGUCUAAUACCGGAUAUGACCAAUCCUUGCAUGAGGGUUGGUGGAAAGUUUUUCGAUCGGGGAUGGGCUCGCGGCCUAUCAGCUUGUUGGUGGGGUAAUGGCCUACCAAGGCGACGACGGGUAGCCGGCCUGAGAGGGCGACCGGCCACACUGGGACUGAGACACGGCCCAGACUCCUACGGGAGGCAGCAGUGGGGAAUAUUGCACAAUGGGGGAAACCCUGAUGCAGCGACGCAGCGUGCGGGAUGACGGCCUUCGGGUUGUAAACCGCUUUCAGCAGGGAAGAAGCGAAAGUGACGGUACCUGCAGAAGAAGUACCGGCUAACUACGUGCCAGCAGCCGCGGUAAUACGUAGGGUACGAGCGUUGUCCGGAAUUAUUGGGCGUAAAGAGCUCGUAGGUGGUUGGUCACGUCUGCUGUGGAAACGCAACGCUUAACGUUGCGCGUGCAGUGGGUACGGGCUGACUAGAGCGCAGUAGGGGAGUCUGGAAUUCCUGGUGUAGCGGUGAAAUGCGCAGAUAUCAGGAGGAACACCGGUGGCGAAGGCGGGACUCUGGGCUGUAACUGACACUGAGGAGCGAAAGCAUGGGGAGCGAACAGGAUUAGAUACCCUGGGUAGUCCAUGCCGUAAACGUUGGGCACUAGGUGUGGGGGACAUUUCCACGUUUCUCCGCGCCGUAGCUAACGCAUUAAGUGCCCCGCCUGGGGAGUACGGUCGCAGGCUAAACUCAAGGGAUUUGACGG